Molecule: ribosomal RNA, 497 nt
Filed under: uncultured bacterium
Lineage: Bacteria
Description: partial 16S ribosomal RNA
Rfam family: Bacterial small subunit ribosomal RNA
Source: RNAcentral
GAUGAACGCUGGCGGCGUGCCUAAUACAUGCAAGUCGAGCGAACAGAUGAGGAGCUUGCUCCUCUGACGUUAGCGGCGGACGGGUGAGUAACACGUGGAUAACCUACCUAUAAGACUGGGAUAACUUCGGGAAACCGGAGCUAAUACCGGAUAAUAUAUUGAACCGCAUGGUUCAAUAGUGAAAGACGGUUUUGCUGUCACUUAUAGAUGGAUCCGCGCCGCAUUAGCUAGUUGGUAAGGUAACGGCUUACCAAGGCAACGAUGCGUAGCCGACCUGAGAGGGUGAUCGGCCACACUGGAACGGAGACACGGUCCAGACUCCUACGGGAGGCAGCAGUAGGGAAUCUUCCGCAAUGGGCGAAAGCCUGACGGAGCAACGCCGCGUGAGUGAUGAAGGUCUUCGGAUCGUAAAACUCCGUUAUUAGGGAAGUACAAAUGUGUAAGUAACUAUGCACGUCUUGACGGUACCUAAUCAGAAAGCCACGGCUAACUACGUG